RNAcentral lists this ribosomal RNA (253 nucleotides) under uncultured bacterium. Its description in RNAcentral is "partial 16S ribosomal RNA". It matches the Rfam family "Bacterial small subunit ribosomal RNA", at positions 524 to 776 of the family's 1533-position model. The record is from RNAcentral.
UACGGAGGGUGCAAGCGUUGUCCGGAUUUAUUGGGUUUAAAGGGUGCGUAGGCGGCUGAUUAAGUCAGCGGUGAAAGACUCCGGCUUAACCGGGGCAGUGCCGUUGAUACUGGUUGGCUUGAGUGCUGCAGGGGUACAUGGAAUUGAUGGUGUAGCGGUGAAAUGCAUAGAUACCAUCAGGAACACCGAUAGCGAAGGCAUUGUACUGGGCAGCAACUGACGCUGAGGCACGAAAGUGUGGGGAUCGAACAGG